CAAACCGCACUUUCCCAACAAGAACCUUCCAUGGAGUUCUAUGGGAUAUCACACAGAUGGGGCAAGAUGGCAGUGGGUUUAAAGACUUUCCGCUUUAAGCUGCUGGAGAAGACUAAACAACAUGUUUGGUUACCCACUGCUGAAGUCAGUGUACAGUGCGACCGUCUGACAUGCCUGCAGUGUUUCCUGCAACUCACAGGCGGCAGCACCUGCAUGUCUUCUCAGAGCACUGGCACCAAGGGACAAAGGACAGGAGGUCUUUUUUCUUUUUAAAGAUGUGUUUAUUUUUGUUUAUGUAUAUGAGUGUUUGUCUGCAUGUAUGUAUAUGGAUCAUCUGUGUGCCUGCUGCCCGCAGAGGCCAGAAGAGAGCAUCCUUGGAGCUGGAGUUACCAGGGCUCUUGAAGGACUGGUAUUUGCCAUCUUGUGGGGCAUUCCCUGAAUACCUCUAGCAAGAGAAGAACCUGCAGAGCCACACAGAGACACCAGAGGGCAGCAGAGUCUCUAAACUGAAAAAAAGAAAUGGACAGGCCUCUGGCUGGGACGUGAACUGCACAAACCACAGAAACGGAGACGUUCCAAAGGGCUUCAAGGAACCCGAGAAUGGCCUCUGUGCUGACCUGUAGAGAUUUUCAAUUAGUAUAAGAUCGCUGAAAAAAAAAAAAAAACUCUCAGCCAGAACUUUCUAGAGUUACUUUCAUAGCUGCCGAAAAAGCAAAACCCAACAUGACAGCAAACAAUCUAACAGAC
RNAcentral lists this long non-coding RNA (747 nucleotides) under Mus caroli (Ryukyu mouse). RNAcentral describes it as "lncRNA (MGP_CAROLIEiJ_G0002887.1)". The record is from RNAcentral. Lineage: Eukaryota; Metazoa; Chordata; Mammalia; Rodentia; Muridae.